RNAcentral lists this ribosomal RNA (505 nucleotides) under uncultured bacterium. Its description in RNAcentral is "partial 16S ribosomal RNA". It matches the Rfam family "Bacterial small subunit ribosomal RNA", at positions 28 to 507 of the family's 1533-position model. The record is from RNAcentral.
GACGAACGCCGGCGGCGUGCCUAAUACAUGCAAGUAGAACGCACAGUUUAUACCGUAGCUUGCUACACCAUAGACCGUGAGUUGCGAACGGGUGAGUAACGCGUAGGUAACCUGCCUGGUAGCGGGGGAUAACUAUUGGAAACGAUAGCUAAUACCGCAUAAUAUUAAUUAUUGCAUGAUAAUUAAUUGAAAGGUGCAAUUGCACCACUACCAGAUGGACCUGCGUUGUAUUAGCUAGUAGGUGAGGUAACGGCUCACCUAGGCGACGAUACAUAGCCGACCUGGGAGGGUGAUCGGCCACACUGGGACUGGGACACGGCCCAGACUCCUACGGGAGGCAGCAGUAGGGAAUCUUCGGCAAUGGACGAAAGUCUGACCGAGCAACGCCGCGUGAGUGAAGAAGGUUUUCGGAUCGUAAAGCUCUGUUGUAAGAGAAGAACGGGUGUGAGAGUGGAAAGUUCACACUGUGACGGUAUCUUACCAGAAAGGGACGGCUAACUACGUG